This 55-nucleotide transfer RNA is filed under the name Cylicostephanus minutus. RNAcentral's name for it is "tRNA-Tyr". The record is from RNAcentral. Lineage: Eukaryota; Metazoa; Nematoda; Chromadorea; Rhabditida; Strongylidae.
UAAGAAUGUACUUUAAUUAAAAAUAUUAGAUUGUAAAUCUAAAGUUUUGAUUCUU